RNAcentral lists this ribosomal RNA (643 nucleotides) under Physma byrsaeum. Its description in RNAcentral is "eukaryotic LSU rRNA". The stretch from base 205 to 358 matches the Rfam family "5.8S ribosomal RNA". Lineage: Eukaryota; Fungi; Ascomycota; Lecanoromycetes; Peltigerales; Collemataceae. The record is from RNAcentral.
UUAGAGGAAGUAAAAGUCGUAACAAGGUUUCCGUAGGUGAACCUGCGGAAGGAUCAUUACCGAGAGAGGGGGGCUAACCGCCCCUCGACUCUUUAACCCAGUGCCGACCGUUCCGGGUUGCUUCGGCGCAAAGUCCUUUCCCCUAAGCAGGGGACGGGGGGACCGCCGGGGGGACGUGUAUGAUCAAUAAUAAAUGUAUUUUAAAACUUUCAACAACGGAUCUCUUGGUUCUGGCAUCGAUGAAGAACGCAGCGAAAUGCGAUAAGUAAUGCGAAUUGCAGAAUUCAGUGAAUCAUCGAAUCUUUGAACGCACAUUGCGCCCUUUGGCAUUCCGAAGGGCAUACCUGUUCGAGCGUCAUUGGCUCUUUUUCCGGUUGGGCGCUGUUGAGCGAAAGCCCUCCGGAAAGUCUUGGGCGAGCGUUUCGAAAACGGGCCCCAAACUCAUAGGCGGUUAUCGGUGUUCCCGCGAGCGUAAUUAAUUGAUCGGAAGCAAUGUCCACGCUGCGCGGCUGAACCCCGGGCCUGCCCGUCGGGGCAAGUCAAGCACCCAAAGCAGGCCUCUAUAAAGAGGUAGGUGGUGUUAAAGCUUGCGGUUCGUACCGGUUGACCUCGGAUCAGGUAAGGGUACCCGCUGAACUUAAGC